GACGAACGCUGGCGGCGUGCUUAACACAUGCAAGUCGAACGGAAAGGCCCUGCUUUUGUGGGGUGCUCGAGUGGCGAACGGGUGAGUAACACGUGAGUAACCUGCCCUUGACUUUGGGAUAACUUCAGGAAACUGGGGCUAAUACCGGAUAGGAGCUCCUGCUGCAUGGUGGGGGUUGGAAAGUUUCGGCGGUUGGGGAUGUACUCGCGGCUUAUCAGCUUGUUGGUGGGGUAGUGGCUUACCAAGGCUUUGACGGGUAGCCAGCCUGAGAGGGUGACCGGGCACGUGGGGACUGACACACGGACAUGAGCACUACGGGAGGCAGCAGUAGGGAAGGGGCCGCAAUGGGGGGAAACCUGACGGAGCGACGCCGCGUGAGUGAUGAAGGUCCUCGGAGCGGAAAACGCUGUUGUGAGGGAAAAACCAUUGUGGAAGGAACGAGGCGCGGCUUGACGGUACCGAAUAAGAAAGCCACGGCUAACUACGGG
This 488-nucleotide ribosomal RNA is filed under the name uncultured bacterium. Its description in RNAcentral is "partial 16S ribosomal RNA". It matches the Rfam family "Bacterial small subunit ribosomal RNA", at positions 28 to 507 of the family's 1533-position model. The record is from RNAcentral.